Molecule: RNA transcript, 1149 nt
Organism: Photinus pyralis (common eastern firefly)
Lineage: Eukaryota; Metazoa; Arthropoda; Insecta; Coleoptera; Lampyridae
Exons: 3
Source: RefSeq, a predicted model, not a curated record
UUCCUACGUGUGAUUUGUUAUAAGCAUUAGCGUCAGUGUAAUAAUAUCCAACUUUUUGUUAAGGAUGUUGAAUUUCCAUUGUUCGCCCUUCGCAGUUCGUGCAGUAGGUACUGUAGUUUCUGGCGUUCUUAUGCUUACCAGCCAUUAGUUACUGCGAUUUGCGAACGUUUCUGAAGUGUGGCCAUAAGUAACAGUUAUUUUUAGUGUUUUUGAAAGUUAGUGCGGUAUCGGAAAUGGCAGAUGAAGAUGUGGUGGCGUAUUUGCAUACGUGGGGUUUGCCCCAGUAUGUCGACGUAUUCAAACAUAAGUACGAGUAUUUCAUUAUCAUAAAACGUUGACUAAGAAAGGUUGUUGGGUUUAUUUCCAUGUUACCUGUUACCAUUGAAUAAAAUGUACCUAUGCAAUGCUGUUACCUAAUGUUUAUAAAACAUCUUUAUCACGUAGAUUUUUUACGCGUCUUCCUCUGCAAUCCCAGGGAGAAACUGAAAGGUAGAAAACGACAACAUCUCGUCGAAAUAUAGGUGGUACUUAGAACAAAACGUAAAAAAGGACACUUUACCGUUCCUAACACCAGAAAUGGUAAAAGAACUAAUACCUUCAAUAGGCGACAGAGCCCAAUUUCAGGGGCAUUUGGAUCACUGGAAGAUGAUAAUUAACGAAAUUCCACAAUCGUCUCCAUUACCAGUUAUACCCGGUGCUGCCGAGAUUGCGAGUACCUCAUGGGCAACUGAGGAUUAUUUAUUAGAAGAUAUUAGUGGCAAUAAUAUACCUCUAUCUGGGGAACCAUUAAACCCUACCGAGCCAGAAGGGGCUAGGGAUCUUGGAGCGCUACAAGAACAAAGAGGAGUAAGUAUACAUUUUUAUGUAGGUAUUUAUUCUAUAUCGUUAUCACUUUAAGUACGUUAUACAGGGUGUUUUAACAAAAAAAGGUCCUAUAGAUAUUUUAUCCACGUGUAGUAGGUACUCAUGAAAAGAUGCCAAAAAGUCUUAAUAAACAUAGGUCCGCAAGCUAAUUAUUUCAGACAUAGAGUUGAUUUUGUGCCUUAAUUUAAAUAUUUCUGUUUCCCUACAUUUGACUUAAGUACUUAGAGCAUCUGCUUUAAACUUCUGCAGUACCUUUCCUACAACUUUUCUAAAUGUUCUUGUUUU